RNAcentral lists this unclassified non-coding RNA (337 nucleotides) under fungal sp. Its description in RNAcentral is "partial internal transcribed spacer region". The stretch from base 1 to 46 matches the Rfam family "Eukaryotic small subunit ribosomal RNA", at positions 1786 to 1831 of the family's 1831-position model. Lineage: Eukaryota; Fungi. The record is from RNAcentral. RNAcentral also lists the same sequence under 1 other name.
AAGUCGUAACAAGGUUUCCGUAGGUGAACCUGCGGAAGGAUCAUUAUUACGUUAUCCAACGUCAAAACCCAAUUGUGAAAUUGUGUAAUCGGAGUUUAGUUGGUUGGUUAAAGAGGUGUUCAUGUCCUUAGUUGUGGACUCUAACCAAUCCUUUGAUGUAAAAAGUCAAGAACUCUGUUCAAGAAAUUCCCGUCAUGAACAAAUUUCGCCAUUUUUAACUUUUUAACCCCAUGUACAAAAUUGAACUAACUUUUUGUUCAAGAAACUUAAUUGUUUCUUGGAUCAAAUAAUCUGAAAUUAAGAAAAACAACUCUUAACAACGGAUAUCUUGGUUCUC